CUCAGUCACUGAGUCGCCGACUCGUCCACCGAUCUCCGAGGACGGACGGAGUCCACGAUUCCGGCUCCGGGAACUCGUUCCUGAGGUGGACCACCAGCUCAAUGCAUUCUCCCCAGUGCCAGUGCGCUGCCGCGAUUCAUCUUGAAACAGAGGGCGGGAGGAAGAAGUGUCUUUUCGACGGGCCGGAGCCAAUCUCGCCGGAUCGAACCGCUCUCCUCCGAUCCCGGAGAAGGUGGCGGAGGAAGAGGAGGAUGAUCUGGCGGUGAAAUGGUGCGAUCUUGGAAUGUCGGUGCUGGCUGGGCUAGCGGGGCAGAUGGAGUACUCAGGCGGCGGGACGGGAAAGGGAAAGAAUGUCGGCCGAGGCAGGAGGGGCGGAGACGGCGAUCAUGACGACAACAGAAGGAUCUCGGAUUACUACCAGCAGAUGUUGGAGACCGACUCUGCUAAUCCGCUCCUCUUGAGAAACUACGGGAGAUUCCUUCACGAGGUGAGAGGGAUCGAAUUCCUCAAAAAUUCGAGAUUCGAUUGCGAUUAUUCAAAAUGGGGCAGAAAAUAAAUUCCUACUUCGAGCUCGCCGUCAAAGCAUCGCCGGACGACUGCUACGUGCUAGGUUCUUACGCGCAGUUCCUAUGGGACGCCGUCGAGGAGGACGAAGAAGAGGCACCGCCGGUGGCGAGAACGGAGUCAUCCUCACCAUCAGUGGAAGCAUUUUGAUGGAGAAUGUACAAAAGCAAUAGUAAUAUUGUCGUCAUAAUUCUAAGUACGACUACGAGAAGCAGAACGAUGAGGAAACAGAUCGUCAGCAGAGGAUGCUGAUGACAAAUCUUGAGAAACUGGUAAAGUUGUGGAAGAUUUCACGCCAGUUCGGAUCAUCAUCUUGCUUUUGGUAUCAGUAGAUGAGUUGAUCUUGUACGGCAUGUCAAAAGAGAAGUUGGAAAGUUAGAGCAGUCAAAAAAAAAAUUCUCAAACUUCUCGUGUUGAUCUAGUACAUGAGCUGCUUGAGCUCGAGCAAGUCAUCAAUACACACGUCUGCAGUGCAGCUCUCUGAUCAGCUACCUCGUGAAGAGAAAAAGUUAUUGCCUCAGACCAGCCAUGAGAAAGAAAUUAAUCACGCAUUGUGAAUGAACUCUCAACUAAUUUGUCAGUUGCAAGUCAAACGGCAACUGAGGAUUUAAUCCAAUCCUGAGGAUGAAUGUGGAUAGUCAAGCGGCAAAUCAGAAGCAAGGAGAAGUAUCUAGGGACAAAAGUAAAAUGAGAGGGCAAGUAUAGUUUCAAUUCAUGUCCCAUAUAUGAAUAUGGGAUAUCAAAUGUGUUGUUGAAUUGUGUGGUUUUUCUAGACUACAAUGAGGAGUGUUGCUCA
Long non-coding RNA from Zingiber officinale, 1360 nucleotides. RefSeq lists it as uncharacterized. NCBI's taxonomy places the organism in Eukaryota, Viridiplantae, Streptophyta, Magnoliopsida, Zingiberales, Zingiberaceae. The transcript is spliced from 3 exons. The record is from RefSeq and is a predicted model, not a curated record.